This 468-nucleotide ribosomal RNA is filed under the name uncultured bacterium. RNAcentral describes it as "partial 16S ribosomal RNA". It matches the Rfam family "Bacterial small subunit ribosomal RNA", at positions 28 to 507 of the family's 1533-position model. The record is from RNAcentral.
GACGAACGCUGGCGGCGUGCUUAACACAUGCAAGUCGAACGGAAAGGCCCUGCUUUUGUGGGGUGCUCGAGUGGCGAACGGGUGAGUAACACGUGAGUAACCUGCCCUUGACUUUGGGAUAACUUCAGGAAACUGGGGCUAAUACCGGAUAGGAGCUCCUGCUGCAUGGUGGGGGUUGGAAAGUUUCGGCGGUUGGGGUUGGACUCGCGGCUUAUCAGCUUUUUGGUGGGGUAGUGGCUUACCAAGGCUUUGACGGGUAGCCGGCCUGAGAGGGUGACCGGCCACCUUGGGCCUGAGAUACGGACCAGACUCCUACGGGAGGCAGCAGUGGGGAGUAUUGCACAAUGGGCGGAAGUGUGAUGCAGCAACGCCGCGGGCGGGAUGAAGGCCUUCGCGUUGUAAACCGCUUUGGCCUGUGACGAAGCGUGAGUGACGGUAAUGGGUAAAGAAGCACCGGCUAACUACGUG